RNAcentral lists this ribosomal RNA (467 nucleotides) under uncultured bacterium. RNAcentral describes it as "partial 16S ribosomal RNA". It matches the Rfam family "Bacterial small subunit ribosomal RNA", at positions 28 to 506 of the family's 1533-position model. The record is from RNAcentral.
GACGAACGCUGGCGGCGUGCUUAACACAUGCAAGUCGAACGGAAAGGCCCUGCUUUUGUGGGGUGCUCGAGUGGCGAACGGGUGAGUAACACGUGAGUAACCUGCCCUUGACUUUGGGAUAACUUCAGGAAACUGGGGCUAAUACCGGAUAGGAGCUCCUGCUGCAUGGUGGGGGUUGGAAAGUUUCGGCGGUUGGGGAUGGACUCGCGGCUUAUCAGCUUGUUGGUGGGGUAGUGGCUUACCAAGGCUUUGACGGGUAGCCGGCCUGAGAGGGUGACCGGCCAAAUGGGAACGGGGAAACGGCCAAGACGACAAGGGGAGGAAGGGGUGGGAAAUAUUGCAAAAGGGGGGGAAGCCGGAUGCAGAAACGCGGGGGGGGGGAUGACGGCCUUGGGGUUGGAAACCGUUUUCGCGGGGGAAGAAGCGUGGGGGAGGGAAAUGGGAAAAGAAGCACCGGCAAAUAAGGU